Molecule: transfer RNA, 73 nt
Filed under: Stegodyphus mimosarum
Lineage: Eukaryota; Metazoa; Arthropoda; Arachnida; Araneae; Eresidae
Rfam family: tRNA
About the family: Transfer RNA (tRNA) molecules are approximately 80 nucleotides in length. Their secondary structure includes four short double-helical elements and three loops (D, anti-codon, and T loops). Further hydrogen bonds mediate the characteristic L-shaped molecular structure. tRNAs have two regions of fundamental functional importance: the anti-codon, which is responsible for specific mRNA codon recognition, and the 3' end, to which the tRNAs corresponding amino acid is attached (by aminoacyl-tRNA synthetases). tRNAs cope with the degeneracy of the genetic code in two manners: having more than one tRNA (with a specific anti-codon) for a particular amino acid; and 'wobble' base-pairing, i.e. permitting non-standard base-pairing at the 3rd anti-codon position.
Source: Rfam by way of RNAcentral
GCCUUUGUGGUGUAGUGGUUAACACGUUCGGCGCGUAUUCACGAAAUCCGUGGUUCACGUCCCGGCGACGGCA